Molecule: small nuclear RNA, 166 nt
Organism: Cavia aperea (Brazilian guinea pig)
Lineage: Eukaryota; Metazoa; Chordata; Mammalia; Rodentia; Caviidae
Gene: U1
Rfam family: U1 spliceosomal RNA
About the family: U1 is a small nuclear RNA (snRNA) component of the spliceosome (involved in pre-mRNA splicing). Its 5' end forms complementary base pairs with the 5' splice junction, thus defining the 5' donor site of an intron.
Source: Ensembl
AUACUUAGCUGGAAGGGGAGAUAUCACAAUCUCCAGAGUGGUUUUUCNNNNNNAAAGUUUAUUCAGUGCAUUACAAAUGUGAUGACCUCUAUGAUUUCUCCAAAGGUGCAAAACUUGAUUGCAUUAUUUGUGAUGGUGGGGAGGGGGGCAUUCGUGCUUUUCAUUG